UUUUUUGAUUCUGAAUUCUUCUAAUGUCUUCUGUUACCUCUGAGAAGAAGCCAUCCUUUAUCCUGUUCUAGAAAAGUGAUACACCAAGCUUUAGGAAAGAUGAUGAAAGAAAAGAAAUGGGCCCAGAGGGACCUAAGGAAACCAGGCCAAACUUGCUGUUCACGUGGACCCUUACAGGGAGAAUGGAAGGCAAAAGCAGAGAACUGGGUCCAAUUUUCUUUCUCAGUGCUAUCUGUGCAGUGGUCAGAUGUGGCACUCACAACCAAAAGGCUUUUGAAACAGCACUGGUUUGGCUACAGACCUUGAUGUGUGUAUAAUGAAACUUGAAAGGUCUCAGAGGAAGGAACAGUGGUGUAGUGGACGCAGGGGACAGCUGUUCCCUGUUGGGAGACAAUUCUGCAUGGGCCCUUUGUAUUUCUGCACAUCUUGCAAGUAGAGACACUAACUGCAUUUGUGCUGGAUUAGAUUUUCAAGUAAACUGCUUUGGAAGAUGAUAGUGUCUCCCUCUAUAGCAUGAGCAGGUUUGUUUGCUCUUAAACAUGAUAAUAGCUUCUGCUGGGGCAAAGGUAAGGCCGACUUAACUGACCAUUAUAAAAGAUUCAUGUUGGGGAUUCGUUUUUGUAACACAACCCGUGUGUGUGUGUGGGUAUGUGUGUGUGUAAGUGUGUUCGUGCGUGCUUGCAGGUGUCAUCUGCCCCCCUUCUUAUUUUCCUAUGGGAAUUGGGAAUCUGGUGCAAAUGCUGAUACUGUAGCUACUGCUAUUGCUGUGAGUAAUAAACUAGGCUUUGUCUCUAACCCAAGAGUCUUGUGUCUUUUGCCAGCAUUCAUGAAACUGUGGUAGACUAAUUUGUUAACCUGCAAAUAGGGGAAAAAUCUCACAUCCUUCGCAGGUCUUGACAUGAGUCAAGUGACAAACCAAAAAAUGGGGACUUUUUAGUUGAGAAAGACAAAGACCAAAGGGGUAGAGGAUAAGGCUGAAGUAUAUAAAAUCAACAAAAGUAAACUUGGUUGUAUUCACCAGUCUUGAAUAUCAAGUGAAGGGAUGAAUCCCUGAUGUUUGAGAGAGGUAAGUUUAUGUCAAUAGAAAGGAAUUUCUUCACAUACAGGAUACUAACCUUAUAGAACUUACCAUCUCAAUAAAUGGUGCUGGCUGAAACUACAAAUUAUUUUAUAAAAGGCCUCACUAAAGUGAUGGAUGACAAACCUAGAAUGCCCAGUUCAAUACGUAUUGGAUGACCGAGUGUUUGCCAAGUGACCAUCUAUAAGAUGAUCUCAUUAUCUGUGUCAGAGAAGAACUACUGGGAAAAAUCAUUAAUUUGACCUAACAAGGACCAUUUUUAAUCUACAAAGUGAGAAAUAGACUCUUCACUGCUUUAUCUAGUUUUAGUUUUUACUAUGGAUACACAUACAUAAACAUAUACAUUUGGGAUAUGUAAGUAUAAAAAUCUCCUUUACAACAAGCUACAAUUCAUAAUCAUCUUAAUUCAUAAAUGUUAAAUAAUAAUGGUAAAAUAUGCUCCUAUUUUAGGGCAGUUGUUUCCCAAGCUGGAUGUGAAGAACACUUCCAGGAAAUUUUAAGAGGCAUAUCUUGAAAAAAAAAAGUCUCACGGUCAAAUAUAUUUGAGGAGCUAUGCACUAUAUGUAUAUAUCUUUGGAAAUUCAAAAUUUACAUUAAUAAUGAGGGCUGUGAUAAGCCCUGAGUCACAGAAACCUUUAAGCUCGUGUUUCCCAAAUUUUUAGUAUUGACCGAUCAUUUCACAGCAUGCCCAUUAUUAUCUCAUGAAACACUAUUCCAUGAAACAGCAGAUUGAGAAAUGCGUUUGUCAAUUGUUAAAAAAUGAAGAUUUUUAUGGCAAGGACUGCUAUAAUGCCAACAUUAUCUAUAAAGCCUCACUAAUUUGAAGUUAAAAACACCAGUGAAGUGGGGACAGAAGGGCCUAACAGGUGACUGGAUGUCCUGGUUUGCUUCUCUCAUACAGGUGGUUGGGCCAUCUUCACCUGGGGGGAUCCUUGGGAUUAAUUGUUUCUUGUGUCCAAGGAGCCCGAAUGCCCCAAUUUCAUGAAUAUUUUCAUGUUUAAGGCAAGGAUAACAAUCAUAGUUAUAGCUAACAUUUAUUGCUUCCAAUUGAUGUGCUACAAUGCCAUUUUGAGCACUUUAUAUUCUAAAAUUCUCACAAUAAACCAUGAGAGAGGUAGUUUUAUUAUCCAUGUUCACAGAAAAGGAAACUGAGGCACGGGUGGUUCUGUCACUUGGCCAAGGCUAUACAGCUAGUAAGUGGAAGAGCUAGGAUUUAAACCCAGACAGUCUGGCUCCAACAUCAACUCCUGUGCUUAACUACCUUUGGAAUUACAGCAUAUGUCAGCAAACUUCCACAUUACCAGUGUAAUUCAUACCACAAAGCAAUUCACUUUACCUUCUAGUUGGGUUGAGCCUAGGUAAGUAGCCUUCAGAGCUUAGGAACCAUAAAUAACAACCAGACCUUGUGCUAACACAUCUUGAAAAGCUUGUCUAAGCUUUACAAUUGUACCAGAAGAAGUAAAAUACAAAUAGGACAGCAUGUACCAUUGCCAAAACAAUCUCCCCUUUGUAUAGUUUUUUCUUCUCACCAAUUUGUUACUAUAUGCAAUACUGACUUUAAGUAAACAAACAAGAAGCUACAAACAAUACACCCACCCUCUUUUAAUUACAGCACUACAACAAGGCCACUUUGUUAAAAUGGUUCAUCUCUAAAAUAUUUUUCUUACCAAAAAUGAUACACAGAUACAUACACACUCAUGUUUCCCCCUAAAACCCCAAUCCUUUUUGUAUGUUGUGAGUGGAGUGCAGAGAAUAAAGCUCCUACUGAGUGCUUUUGGCCUUCAGAUUUGGUGCUCAUUACUGUGUAGACAUUCUCAGCCAGAGCGCGACAACAGGCAUUCAGAACUGUGUUUUCUGCAAUGUUUAUUGUUUAUUCCACGAUCUUUUGUUGUUUUUUUUUGUUGUUGCUGUUAUUUUACAUGUUGGCAUAUUAAUUUCUAUUGCUGUUGUAACAAAUUACCACCAAUUUAGUGGCUUAAAAAAACAACACUCAUGUAUCAUCUCACAGCUCUGUAGGUCAAAAGUCCAAGUAUGGCAUGGCUCAGCUGGUUCUCUGUUAGAGUUGUACAAAGCUGACAUCAAGGUGUCGGCAGAGCUGUGUUCCAUUCUGGAAGUUCUGGGGCUAAAUCUGCUUCCAAUCUCAUACGUGAUUGUUGGCUGAAUUCAGUCUGAUGUGGUUGUAAGACUGAGGUCCCUGUCUCCUUGCCAGUUGACAGCUGGGGGCUGCCCAUUGUUCCUAGAGGUCUCUCUCUGGUUCCUAAUGUGGCUGCUACGUCUCAGAGCCAGCAAAGCAUGUUUGAUCCUUCUCAUACUUGGAGUCUCUCUCUCACAUCUCUUUUGCUUCUAGCCUGAGAAAAUUCUCUCUCUUUUUUUUUUUUUAGACGGAGUCUCGCU
RNAcentral lists this long non-coding RNA (3472 nucleotides) under Homo sapiens (human). RNAcentral's name for it is "HSALNT0341995". The record is from RNAcentral. Lineage: Eukaryota; Metazoa; Chordata; Mammalia; Primates; Hominidae.